GAAUAAUAAGAUAUUUGCAGAAUCGGUUCUUCUCCUCAAUAGCGGCGUUCGAUCCUUCAUCCCUCUCCCAUUAGAUGAUGAUCACAAAGUCCCCAAUCGGUGAUAAUCCUUGUAUGAAUCGGCGACGGAUUAAAAUCGACUCGCACCAUGAAGUAGUUUCACUCCAUUCAGCGAAAUACUACCUCUCGAAAACCCUAAACGGAUUUGUUCCUACACAUCGAAGAGUUUCUCCACAAAUCUAUACUAAAGAUCUGUUCUCAUCUGUACAAUAGCAGAUAUGAGGCAACAAAAUGAACGGAAAGGGCGCCGAUGAAAGCGGUGGAAUGUCAUAUGGGUUUGUAAACUAACAGAGGACGUAAACUGAAGGUAUUAUACUACUGAAGAAGGAGAUAAAAGAAAGGAAAGGAAUGCCAAGAAGAUCUUUUAAAAGCAUGGAAUACAAAAGAGGUUCAUUGAAACCCUAAAAAAAGCAGCUGCAUCCUCUCUACCCAAACGAAAAAGUGAGAUGAAAAUAUCGACACAGGCUGGUAUCUACCUACACAGAGCUUGGAAAGGUGCAGAAGAGUGAUUCAUCCAUGAGAAACUCUUCAGCUACACCUGCAGAUGUGGAAAAUCGGUGCUAAUCAAAAGGAACAGAUUUACAUGAUUCUGGAGCAGUGUUGUUAGGGUCGCGGGGCGCACCGGGUCGAUGAGGUGAAAAUUCGGGUCGCGGGUCGACGAGUCGACGGGGUCGAGAGACCCACAAAGCUAGACCCAUUUCUGAGCUGCCAUGGCCGACGAUCUUCUUCUUCCAGCCGCUCGCCCCAGCCGAUCGACCCAGCUGCUCGCCCCAGCCGCUCGCCCCAGCCGCCCCAGUGGCGACCCCUGAAUCUCGACCCACCCACCCACAAUGGGGCGACGUCGGUCUCGACCCUUGCGACCCGCGACCCAAGCGCGCUCGGGGCGCGAUUUUAACAACACUGUUCUGGAGCACAAUUUUGGAUUUUCAGAUUACCAAAUAUUUGAGGAUGAGAAACUAUGUAUCUCUACACAGUUUGAAGUGCAAAGGUUACCAAAGGAUUUAAGGAUGAGAAAUUUUGAAACUCUCACCGUCUAAGUGCAAAGGUUAUGAAUUUAUUUAAGGUACAUAUGGAAGGAGUGGUGUAUUAACAUGAGCACAACUAUCAGCAGCAUUGGGAACAUGGAAUUUACAUUGUUUAUUAAAUUUUCACAGAUUCACAUGUGCAGACACAAUUUCUGCAUUUAAUAGUGUAUUAUUUGUAAUAGAUAAACAACUAAAUGGACAAAAAAAAUAAGUACACAGCAACUCCCAUUUUUAAAAUGACCAUAAGGGUAAAUAAAGAUGCUUUGAAGUUUCCCGCCAAAAA
Long non-coding RNA from Salvia splendens (bonfire salvia), 1367 nucleotides. RefSeq lists it as uncharacterized. NCBI's taxonomy places the organism in Eukaryota, Viridiplantae, Streptophyta, Magnoliopsida, Lamiales, Lamiaceae. The transcript has 9 exons. The record is from RefSeq and is a predicted model, not a curated record.